Molecule: ribosomal RNA, 253 nt
Filed under: uncultured bacterium
Lineage: Bacteria
Description: partial 16S ribosomal RNA
Rfam family: Bacterial small subunit ribosomal RNA
Source: RNAcentral
UACGUAGGGGGCAAGCGUUGUCCGGAAUUAUUGGGCGUACAGAGCGCGUAGGCGGUCCGAUAAGUCGGCUGUGAAAGUCAGGGGCUCAACCCUUGAAAGCCGGCCGAUACUGUCGGACUAGAGUCCGGAAGAGGCAAGUGGAAUUCCCGGUGUAGCGGUGAAAUGCGCAGAUAUCGGGAGGAACACCAAUGGCGAAGGCAGCUUGCUGGGACGGUACUGACGCUGAGGCGCGAAAGCGUGGGGAGCAAACAGG